This 278-nucleotide ribosomal RNA is filed under the name Vibrio sp. LM2105. Its description in RNAcentral is "partial 16S ribosomal RNA". It matches the Rfam family "Bacterial small subunit ribosomal RNA", at positions 162 to 442 of the family's 1533-position model. The record is from RNAcentral. Lineage: Bacteria; Pseudomonadati; Pseudomonadota; Gammaproteobacteria; Vibrionales; Vibrionaceae.
GCUAAUACCGCAUGAUGCCUACGGGCCAAAGAGGGGGACCUUCGGGCCUCUCGCGUCAGGAUAUGCCUAGGUGGGAUUAGCUAGUUGGUGAGGUAAGGGCUCACCAAGGCGACGAUCCCUAGCUGGUCUGAGAGGAUGAUCAGCCACACUGGAACUGAGACACGGUCCAGACUCCUACGGGAGGCAGCAGUGGGGAAUAUUGCACAAUGGGCGCAAGCCUGAUGCAGCCAUGCCGCGUGUAUGAAGAAGGCCUUCGGGUUGUAAAGUACUUUCAGUCG